Parelaphostrongylus tenuis is the source of this 75-nucleotide non-coding RNA. NCBI's taxonomy places the organism in Eukaryota, Metazoa, Nematoda, Chromadorea, Rhabditida, Metastrongylidae. The record is from the annotation of a GenBank genome assembly.
GCGCCGAUAGUGCAACUGCUCAGCACGCGUUCCCGGAAAAAGAAUGAGAUCUGGGUUCGAAUCCCUGUUGACGCA